This 1447-nucleotide ribosomal RNA is filed under the name uncultured bacterium. RNAcentral describes it as "partial 16S ribosomal RNA". It matches the Rfam family "Bacterial small subunit ribosomal RNA". The record is from RNAcentral.
GACGAACGCUGGCGGCGUGCUUAACACAUGCAAGUCGAACGGAAAGGCCCUGCUUUUGUGGGGUGCUCGAGUGGCGAACGGGUGAGUAACACGUGAGUAACCUGCCCUUGACUUUGGGAUAACUUCAGGAAACUGGGGCUAAUACCGGAUAGGAGCUCCUGCUGCAUGGUGGGGGUUGGAAAGUUUCGGCGGUUGGGGAUGGACUCGCGGCUUAUCAGCUUGUUGGUGGGGUAGUGGCUUACCAAGGCUUUGACGGGUAGCCGGCCUGAGAGGGUGACCGGCCACAUUGGGACUGAGAUACGGCCCAGACUCCUACGGGAGGCAGCAGUGGGGAAUAUUGCACAAUAGGCGGAAGCCUGAUGCAGCAACGCCGCGUGCGGGAUGACGGCCUUCGGGUUGUAAACCGCUUUCGCCUGUGACGAAGCGUGAGUGACGGUAAUGGGUAAAGAAGCACCGGCUAACUACGUGCCAGCAGCCGCGGUGAUACGUAGGGUGCGAGCGUUGUCCGGAUUUAUUGGGCGUAAAGGGCUCGUAGGUGGUUGAUCGCGUCGGAAGUGUAAUCUUGGGGCUUAACCCUGAGCGUGCUUUCGAUACGGGUUGACUUGAGGAAGGUAGGGGAGAAUGGAAUUCCUGGUGGAGCGGUGGAAUGCGCAGAUAUCAGGAGGAACACCAGUGGCGAAGGCGGUUCUCUGGGCCUUUCCUGACGCUGAGGAGCGAAAGCGUGGGGAGCGAACAGGCUUAGAUACCCUGGUAGUCCACGCUGUAAACGGUGGGUACUAGGUGUGGGGUCCAUUCCACGGGUUCCGUGCCGUAGCUAACGCUUUAAGUACCCCGCCUGGGGAGUACGGCCGCAAGGCUAAAACUCAAAGGGAUUGACGGGGCCCCGCACAAGCGGCGGAGCAUGCGGAUUAAUUCGAUGCAACGCGUAGAACCUUACCUGGGUUUGACAUGGAUCGGGAGUGCUCAGAGAUGGGUGUGCCUCUUUUGGGGUCGGUUCACAGGUGGUGCAUGGCUGUCGUCAGCUCGUGUCGUGAGAUGUUGGGUUAAGUCCCGCAACGAGCGCAACCCUUGUUCACUGUUGCCAGCACGUUAUGGUGGGGACUCAGUGGAGACCGCCGGGGUCAACUCGGAGGAAGGUGGGGAUGACGUCAAGUCAUCAUGCCCCUUAUGUCCAGGGCUUCACGCAUGCUACAAUGGCUGGUACAGAGAGUGGCGAGCCUGUGAGGGUGAGCGAAUCUCGGAAAGCCGGUCUCAGUUCGGAUUGGGGUCUGCAACUCGACCUCAUGAAGUCGGAGUCGCUAGUAAUCGCAGAUCAGCAACGCUGCGGUGAAUACGUUCCCGGGGCUUGUACACACCGCCCGUCAAGUCAUGAAAGUUGGUAACACCCGAAGCCGGUGGCCUAACCGUUGUGGGGGAGCCGUCGAAGGUGGGACUGGUGAUUAGGACU